This 134-nucleotide non-coding RNA is filed under the name Rhodoferax ferrireducens. Its description in RNAcentral is "Glycine sequence". It matches the Rfam family "Glycine riboswitch aptamer". Rfam says of the family: This family represents the bacterial glycine riboswitch. The record is from RNAcentral. Lineage: Bacteria; Pseudomonadati; Pseudomonadota; Betaproteobacteria; Burkholderiales; Comamonadaceae.
CGCAUCCCCACUGGAGAGAGGCCAAUCGCCCAACAAGGCGCACGGUCCACCGAAGGAGCAACCCGCAGUCAGCCCGCCACUUUGGCAGGCCCGGCCCGGCGAAUCUCUCAGGUAAAGCGGACAGCGGGGGCAGC